CCUACGGGUGACUGCAGUGGGGAAUAUUGCACAAUGGUCGGAACCCUGAUGCAGCGACGCCGCGUGAGGGAUGAAGUAUUUCGGUAUGUUAACUUCUAUCAGCAGGGAAAAAAAUGACGGUACCUGACUAAGAAUCCCCGUCUAACUACGGACCACCAGCCGCGGUAAUACGUAGGGGGCAACCGUUAUCCGGAUGUACUGGGUGUAAAGGGAGCGUAGACGGCAUGGCAAGUCUGAGGGGAAAACCCGGGGACAAACCCCGGGACUGCGUUUGAAACUGGCAGGCUAGAGUGUCGGAGAGGCAAGUGGAAUGCGCAGUGUAGCGGUGAAAUGCGUAGAUAUUAGGAGGAACACCAGUGGCGAAGGCGGCAUGCUGGAUGAUCACUGACGUUGAGGCUCGAAAGCGUGGGGAGCAAACAGGAUUAGAUACCCCUGUAGUC
RNAcentral lists this ribosomal RNA (440 nucleotides) under uncultured bacterium. RNAcentral describes it as "partial 16S ribosomal RNA". It matches the Rfam family "Bacterial small subunit ribosomal RNA", at positions 338 to 795 of the family's 1533-position model. The record is from RNAcentral.